ACUGAAAAUUGAUCAAAAUUAUAGCGUUAUUAGAUUUACAGAUUCUUCAUAUUUUUAUAACAAAACCGAUACCUAAAUACGAAAUAACUAACUUGCUACAAAAUUAAAUAACAACUAAUUGUUUACUUAAUAUAAAUUAUCAUAGAAAAUUUUUUGAAAAUUAUUUGAUACAUAAUGAUAAAAUAUGUAUAGUCUAUGAACAACGAUAGAACUUCAAAAUUUAUUCCAAAAAUUUAUUCCACUUAAAUAAUUUUUGCUUUUAGAAUAUAAGUGAUAAUAUAAACUAUAUAUACUUCCGAAGAAUAGAUCGUGGAAUUUAUACAAAAUUUAUUAAGUAAUUUUCCAAAGCUAUAUUAUACAUACAAUAAAUAAUUUUUUUCGAUAUACCUCUUUGGCUGAUUUUUCGACAAAGAGUAGGCUCCAAAUGACUUAGAUGUUCCAAGCGUGGUUGAAAACUGCAGUUCACGGUUCCAAGACUGUACGGAUCGAAUGGAUCGCCGCACCUUGGAUCGUAUUCGCUGUUGCAUUGGAUAAUUAGAACAAACAUAUAACUUAAGAAGGAAGUAUUCAUAUACAAAUCAAAUCAAAUUAUAUCAUAUAUAUUUUUAUAUUAUAAAUAUCACAUAACGAAAUUACGAAACUUUGAAAUAUGAAACUAUACUAUUGAUUAAAAUAAGGAAUUGCUGUUGUAUUUCAAAUUUUAGAAUUUAUGCUUGAUUUGCAAAAUCUUGUUGAUUGGCUACGACCCUGCCGCGUUGUGACGUCACCAGGCAACCCCAUUCACCCUCCCAACGAGUCUGGUUACAGCACCAGCUGAUAUCGAGCAGGAAGACCCCGACCAAUACAUGCGAUGACCUACUGAUAUACACAUGGGAAAAGAGAUCUAUUGAGAGAAGUACAAAUUUUGCAAAUUUUUAUGAGUCUGGAUGGCAAAUAGAUUAUAUAUAUUUAUUGAUUCCAGUCUUUGAAACUAUAAUUUAUUAAUCAUUUUUAUAUGUUAUAUUAUAAUAUUAUUAUGUUAGAUUAUACUUUUUAUCUUAAUGAAUUAUUUAGUAAAAUUUUUAAAAAUCUUUUCUUUGAAUCAUAUAUAUUCUUAACAUUUUCAAAUUUUUUUUUACAAAAUUUAUUAAGAGAAGAAUAUCGAUAUAUAGAAUUUAAUAGAAAAAUAUUUAAUUAUGAAAGAAAAAAAUGAUAUAAGUAAAAAAUUUUUUUUCUUUGUCAACAUCUUCACUUUGAAUUUACCUUGAGCGCGCGAAAAUAUAGAUGAAACAGUUCCAUACCCUGACCUUGAGUACAUAAAUUUUGUACCUUCUCACUGGGUUAUUCUAAAAGCUUUUAAUAAAAAGAUUCGUUUCAUUAAAAUAUAAAAUUUCUAUUUAAUGAUAAUUAAUUAAUGCAAGAAUAUUUUACAAAGAAAUUAUUUAAUUUUUAAUCAUAUUGCAUAUUAUAUACAUUUAUACAUUUUUUUACAUUCUUUACAUUCUUUUAAUAAAAAUUUUAUGUACAAUUUUUUAUAGAUACUAAAAUGUACUCAACUAUACAAUUGAAAUCGUCGACUAUGAUAAUAAAUCUCAUUGAAGAAAGACAAGUCAGAGAUAUUGACAGAUUAAUAAAAUUUGUGUAUUAUUAUUAUUCUGACAAUUAUAGUGAAGUGUGAAAACAUUGAUCAAAAGUAUGUUAUAUAUGGGAGGCUCUUCAACGACAUUUGAAACCACACGAGACGUUCGAUCAGCAGUAAAUAGGGCAGGGCGGCUGGAUAGACGGUAGGGGUGAGUCGCGUGAGGAACUAACAAGCGCUGCGUGACAUUGCAGGUCCUUAUGUAAUCGACAGGAAAACGAAGAGAUUACCCUUUUUUGUUGAUACAAAAACAUUUCUGAUAAGAAAGAAGAAAGAAUAUCGAUAAAGACAAUAGUAUUUCUAUUCUGUAAGAUUCAAUAAUUUAGCAUUCUAGAUAUAUUUUUUAUUGAUCUUUAAAAAAUCGAUAUUAUAAAUCAAUAAAUUUUUUCCAAAAAUUAUUUACACAUUAUUUAUAUACUUAAGAAUAAGUUAUAUAAAUUUAAAAUACAAUAAUAUCUUUGGUAUUUGGUAUAUUAAAUAUAAAAUAAUAUGAUAUUUUAAAUAAUUCUUAAUAAAAAUUAUAAUUAGAUCCUUAAUAAAUAUUUAAAUGAUUCGUAUAAAUAUUUAAAAGAGAUGAUAUUCCUGUUAAUUGUCAUUUUGUUAAUUUCCUUGUAUGCUUUGUUUAUCUUGUUCAUUGUUAAAUUCAUUUUAAGGGACAAAAAUAUAGUAGCAUAGCUUACAUAAACAUGAUACAAAUUUUUAUAAUUUAUUAAUAGAUUAACAUUUAUUAAAGAUUAACAGGAGGAGCAUCCCCUUGGUCACGGUACCACACGGUGCAGGGAGAAUAGAAUUCGAAGAGUAUGAGAGAAUGCAGCGGAGAGAGGGGAGAAAGUGGGUCGCUCGAUAACCCUCGCGUGGGCCAAGUUCUAUGAACCAAAAUUCCAAAUUUUAACAAAUUGCAUCAAAAUUAACAUAAUUUUUCUUUAAGAAAAGAAGAAGAAGAAAAAGAAAAUAACCUCCUUUUGGAAAUUUUCGUCGUUUUUUCUUUUUUCACUUAUUAAAAAGAACUGCAAUUGAAUUCGACUAGCAGCUUUAAGUUCGACCAGUUACGGAAUUGUUUCUUUAAACUCACUAUUUAACGAUUGUAGCAAACUACACGCAGCAACGUAUAAUUAACGACAUUUCUAAAUCCUUCACUUUAAACGUUGCACUGUUUUCAUGAAACUGCAUUAUUGCAAACGUUUUUCAAACGUUAAUCGCAAAUUAAUUCAUCUUGUCGAAGAAUUUUCGGUUUAAACACUUUUAUUGUAAUUUUUCCCCCUUAUUUUUAUGAUUAUUAAAAUAUUAUAUAUAAAUGUUUAAAACCAAUCAUUAAAUAUUAUUAUAAAAAAAGUUGCUUCUUAUAAAAAGUCGAUAUAGUAUCAUUGUCGCAGUGCUUUAAAUUUUACAAAAGUUGAUUUUCUUAAUAGGACGGUUUUUUUUUCUUUUUAGAAAUAUGUAUAUUAAUUAUUAAAUUUAGAUAUUAUUUGUUUAAUUUUUUUAUUUUUAAUAUAAGAUCGAUGUUAAAAAUAAAAGAUUAUAUUCUUCCAACAAAAA
This is a long non-coding RNA of Apis cerana (Asiatic honeybee), 3154 nucleotides long. RefSeq lists it as uncharacterized. The record is from RefSeq and is a predicted model, not a curated record. Lineage: Eukaryota; Metazoa; Arthropoda; Insecta; Hymenoptera; Apidae.